Unclassified non-coding RNA from Mesocricetus auratus (golden hamster), 296 nucleotides. Its record names the gene 7SK. It matches the Rfam family "7SK RNA". From Rfam's summary of the family: 7SK was discovered as an abundant small nuclear RNA in the mid-70s but a possible function has only recently been suggested. Two independent studies have found that 7SK RNA binds the CDK9/cyclin T complex (known as elongation factor P-TEFb). The record is from Ensembl. Lineage: Eukaryota; Metazoa; Chordata; Mammalia; Rodentia; Cricetidae.
GGAUGUGAGGGCGAUAUGGCUGCCACGUCUGUCACCCCAUUGAUUGCAGGGUUGAUGUAGCUGAUCUGGCUGGCUAGACCGGUGUUCCCUUCCUCCCUCACCACUCCAUGUGUGUCCCUCCCCAAGCUGCGUGCUCGGUGGAAGAGGAUGACCUUCCCCGAAUAGAGGAGGAUCAGUCUUUGGUCAAGGGUAUAUGAGUAGCUGUGCUUCCCUGCUAGAACUCCAAACGCACUCUCAAGGAAGACACCCAGCAUUGACUCUGGCCAUUGCAUGUACCCACACAUACAUGCACACAU